UGGUCCAGAAUACCUUUCUUUUGAUAUACAGUUGAGAUGCUGGCUUCUGUGAUAGAAGAAAUGCAUCGAAAGAUGAUGGUGUAUGAUAAUUUAACUACAAACAAGUUCUAUAACGAAGGCACAUAAUAAGUGGUCUAAAAUGCUGUUACCUAUUAAAGGAGCGAAAAUUCUGCAAAUACCCACAUUUUCGCGCUGAGCAGAGUGAGGAGCUUUGAGCAAAGAAGAAAGGAGUGUGUACAAAAUAAAAAUAUGUAAACAGAAAUCCUAAGAAAUUUAGAAAUUAAAAUAAAGUAAUUUUCAAGCUGG
RNA transcript from Stegodyphus dumicola, 306 nucleotides. RefSeq lists it as uncharacterized. Lineage: Eukaryota; Metazoa; Arthropoda; Arachnida; Araneae; Eresidae. The record is from RefSeq and is a predicted model, not a curated record.